GCAAGUCGAACGGCAGCACGGGAGCAAUCCUGGUGGCGAGUGGCGAACGGGUGAGUAAUAUAUCGGAACGUGCCCAGUCGUGGGGGAUAACGCAGCGAAAGCUGUGCUAAUACCGCAUACGAUCUCUGGAUGAAAGCGGGGGACUCGCAAGGGCCUCGCGCGAUUGGGGCGGCCGAUAUCAGAUUAGCUAGUUGGUGGGGUAAAAGCCCACCAAGGCGACGAUCUGUAGCUGGUCUGAGAGGACGACCAGCCACACUGGAACUGAGACACGGUCCAGACUCCUACGGGAGGCAGCAGUGGUGUUUUUGGUCGAUAGGCGCAAGCCUGAUCCAGCAAUGCCGCGUGCAGGAUGAAGGCCUUCGGGUUGUAAACU
Molecule: ribosomal RNA, 373 nt
Filed under: uncultured bacterium
Lineage: Bacteria
Description: bacterial SSU rRNA
Rfam family: Bacterial small subunit ribosomal RNA
Source: RNAcentral